UUAGUUCCAGAAUAGAAUUUUCAUUUGGUUCUUUUUUCAGGUUUUCCAUGAAAUUCUGUGUUAUGUUUAUAAUAGAUUGUUGUUGUUGUUUUCCCCAGUCAGUGUGAGGGAAACUUUAUUGAGGCCCCAGGGCCAUGGGGCUCAGACAGGAAGCCACAUUGCAGGCAAAGGAAGAGCAGGUGGAGGGGCUUUAUUGACCUUCUGGGGGUGCGGGUGGUGGUUGUGGUUGCACGUCUGGCGGGAGCACAACGCUCGCUGUGCUUGUAUUUCCGGGAGAGCUGGUAGAGGGAGGGCUGGGUAAUGCCAUCUCCAGGCCAAGCGCCAAGUGCAGGACUCUUACUGGAUAUUGUAUCUGAGAGAGUGCAGCCAUCCUUCAGCUGUUUGCCUCUGAGUACAGACGCUGCUGCUCGGGUGGGAUGCCUUCAUUGUCUUGGCUUCAACAUUCUCAACGGUGUCACUGGGCUUGACCUCAAGGGUGAUGGUCUUGAUUUUCAGGGUCUCCACAGAGAUUUGCAUCUGUGCAUCUGCUGCUCAGCCGCCGAGUUGAAGAGAAAGAACUAAAACCGUUAUUUUUAAAUCUUUUCCUACUACUUCUAAUGUUUGAGUAGAAAAAGAGACCUAAAAGCCAAGAGUCACCACCAACAGAGGCCUUUUCUGGUAAAGAGUUACCAAGCAGCAGAGUGAACCUGACAAGAUCCACAGUGGGUGAUUGCUGGCCUUCUACCCGAGCAGACAGUCGGGAGUCUAGGGAUGAGCCAGAGAAGCAGAAGAUGCAUGACGGCAGCUUGGGGUCAAUGGAACGUGAACAAGGGCAAGUAGUGACCCAGGAUGGGGACUGGGGAGAUGCUGAAGUUGUGGAAAAAUGCAGCUUCAAUUCAGACUUUCUUUCUGCACAGAAAUUUCUUGUCAAAGAAUAUUUCCGUCAAAUUGACUCAGUUCAAAGCUUCCAGCAUGAUUUUGUUUUAAAAAAUUGUCAGAAAAAUCUUGGUAGUGAAGAAAGCUUAUAAAGGCAAUCCACGUGGAAAAGCCUUAGGAAAUCUGUAUAAAUUGAGCAUGGUAAAUAUACCAACCAGAGCAUAUACCUUUCUACACAUGAGAUUAUUAAUGUAGGAAAUAAACCCUAUGGCUUUAAAGAAAGUGGAGAUUUUUUUACCCAUAGCUCAUGCUUCUCUCACUUCAUGAGAACUCAUACUAAGGAGAAACCCUAUGAAUAUAAUGCAUGUGGGAAAGCCUUUAAGAAACUUUCACCUCUUUCUUACCAUCUGAGAAAUCACAAUAGAGAGAAAGCCUAUGAAUGUAAUGAAUGUGGGAAGUCUUUCUGGAAGAGCCUUCACCUCAUUUUGCACCAGAGAACUCACACUGGUGAGAAACCUCAUGAAUGUAAUAAAUGUGAAAAGUCUUUUAGCCAUAAUUCUUACCAUAAUGUACACCAGAGAAUUUAUACUGGAGAGAAACCCUAUAAAUGUGAUGAGUGUG
This is a long non-coding RNA of Herpailurus yagouaroundi (jaguarundi), 1476 nucleotides long. RefSeq lists it as uncharacterized. The record is from RefSeq and is a predicted model, not a curated record. NCBI's taxonomy places the organism in Eukaryota, Metazoa, Chordata, Mammalia, Carnivora, Felidae. The transcript has 2 exons.